GACCUAGAGGACCGGCGCACGGGUGCGUAACGCGUAUGCAAUCUACCUUUCACAGAGGGAUAGCCCAGAGAAAUUUGGAUUAAUACCUCAUAGUAUAGCAGCUUCGCAUGAAGUCACUAUUAAAGAUUUAUCGGUGAAAGAUGAGCAUGCGUCCCAUUAGUUAGUUGGUAAGGUAACGGCUUACCAAGACAACGAUGGGUAGGGGUCCUGAGAGGGAGAUCCCCCACACUGGUACUGAGACACGGACCAGACUCCUACGGGAGGCAGCAGUGAGGAAUAUUGGACAAUGGGCGCAAGCCUGAUCCAGCCAUGCCGCGUGCAGGAUGACGGUCCUAUGGAUUGUAAACUGCUUUUAUACGAGAAGAAACACUGGUUCGUGAACCAGCUUGACGGUAUCGUAAGAAUAAGGAUCGGCUAACUCCGUGCCAGCAGCCGCGGUAAUACGGAGGAUCCAAGCGUUAUCCGGAAUCAUUGGGUUUAAAGGGUCCGUAGGCGGUCAGGUAAGUCAGUGGUGAAAGCCCAUCGCUCAACGGUGGAACGGCCAUUGAUACUGUCUGACUUGAAUUAUUAGGAAGUAACUAGAAUAUGUAGUGUAGCGGUGAAAUGCUUAGAGAUUACAUGGAAUACCAAUUGCGAAGGCAGGUUACUACUAAUAUAUUGACGCUGAUGGACGAAAGCGUGGGUAGCGAACAGGAUUAGAUACCCUGGUAGUCCACGCCGUAAACGAUGGAUACUAGCUGUUGGGAGCAAUCUCAGUGGCUAAGCGAAAGUGAUAAGUAUCCCACCUGGGGAGUACGUUCGCAAGAAUGAAACUCAAAGGAAUUGACGGGGGCCCGCACAAGCGGUGGAGCAUGUGGUUUAAUUCGAUGAUACGCGAGGAACCUUACCAAGG
This 892-nucleotide ribosomal RNA is filed under the name Flavobacterium sp. ALI-LH11. RNAcentral's name for it is "bacterial SSU rRNA". It matches the Rfam family "Bacterial small subunit ribosomal RNA", at positions 84 to 979 of the family's 1533-position model. Lineage: Bacteria; Pseudomonadati; Bacteroidota; Flavobacteriia; Flavobacteriales; Flavobacteriaceae. The record is from RNAcentral.